Molecule: long non-coding RNA, 359 nt
Organism: Symsagittifera roscoffensis
Lineage: Eukaryota; Metazoa; Xenacoelomorpha; Acoela; Convolutidae
Exons: 2
Source: RefSeq, a predicted model, not a curated record
UUUUUAGUGAUGCGUGACAAUUUUGCUGGAAAAAUUAAUCGGCAGAAAAUAAAGUUGUGAUCGUGUGUGACCUAUGGGCCCAUUCUAACUCGGGGAUCAACUUCAUCAUCUAUGGCUUCACCCAUACAGGCAUGCGUAGGGCAUACUUGCAGUGGUACAAAAGAGCAUCACAAUUGCUUCUGCUGUGCAGACCAAAAAAUGAAGAUAGUGACAACCAAAAGAAUCGAACCCAAACCAGAAAUACUACAAAUUGUAACUGAUGAAAAAAAACUGGCUCUUUAUUUCGCUGGCUAUCAUAAUGAUUUCAUCCUCCCCUUGAAGCCAAUUUUCCCUUUAAAAAAUUGAAAUCAUACAAUUUA